ACUCCUACGGGAGGCAGCAGUGGGGAAUUUUGGACAAUGGGCGAAAGCCUGAUCCAGCAAUGCCGCGUGUGUGAAGAAGGCCUUCGGGUUGUAAAGCACUUUUGUCCGGAAAGAAAUCCUUGGCUCUAAUACAGUCGAGGGAUGACGGUACCGGAAGAAUAAGCACCGGCUAACUACGUGCCAGCAGCCGCGGUAAUACGUAGGGUGCGAGCGUUAAUCGGAAUUACUGGGCGUAAAGCGUGCGCAGGCGGUUUGCUAAGACCGAUGUGAAAUCCCCGGGCUCAACCUGGGAACUGCAUUGGUGACUGGCAGGCUAGAGUAUGGCAGAGGGGGGUAGAAUUCCACGUGUAGCAGUGAAAUGCGUAGAGAUGUGGAGGAAUACCGAUGGCGAAGGCAGCCCCCUGGGCCAAUACUGACGCUCAUGCACGAAAGCGUGGGGAGCAAACAGGAUUAGAAACCCUAGUAGUCC
RNAcentral lists this ribosomal RNA (469 nucleotides) under uncultured organism. Its description in RNAcentral is "partial 16S ribosomal RNA". It matches the Rfam family "Bacterial small subunit ribosomal RNA", at positions 335 to 796 of the family's 1533-position model. The record is from RNAcentral.